Molecule: ribosomal RNA, 464 nt
Filed under: uncultured bacterium
Lineage: Bacteria
Description: partial 16S ribosomal RNA
Rfam family: Bacterial small subunit ribosomal RNA
Source: RNAcentral
GACGAACGCUGGCGGCGUGCUUAGCACAUGCGAGUCGAACGGAAAGGCCCUGCUUGCAGGGUACUCGAGUGGCGAACGGGUGAGUAACUCGUGGGUGAUCUGCCCUGCACUUCGGGAUAAGCCUGGGAAACUGGGUCUACUACCGGCUAGGAGCCAUUUUUAGUGUGAUGGUUGGAAAGUUUUUUCGGUGUAGGAUGAGCUCGGGGCCUAUCAGCUUGUUGGUGGGGUAAUGGCCUACCAAGGCGGCGACGGGUAGCCGGCCUGAGAGGGUGGACGGCCACGUUGGGACUGAGAUACGGCCCAGACUCCUACGGGAGGCAGCAGUGGAGAAUAGUGCACAAUGGGCGCAAGCCUGAUGCAGCGACGCCGCGUGGGGGAUGACGGCCUUCGGGUUGUAAACUACUUUCGCUAGAGACGAAGCUAUUGUGACGGUACCUAGAGAAGAAGCACCGGCUAACUACGUG